ACAGAAAGUCAAGGCUUUACCAGCUGCUAGUCUGUAUCCUGCCAACCGCCUGAUCUAAAUUCAGUAAAGGAUAAACCUCCUGCCAUAGCCAAAUGACCUGGGCAAACAACCCAGCUUGCCCUUGAUUUGCUCUUUUUGGUCUUUGAGACAGGCUGUUAUGUAGUCCAGGCUGGUCUGGUACUCGCUAGGUAGACAAGAAUGGCUUCAAACUCAAAAUAAUCUGUCUGCCUUUCUCAGCUUCCAAGUGCUGGGGUUGAAGAUACGUUCACCACACUCAACUUCUGCUUUGGCUUUUGAUACUUCAGCUCCGCUGCUCCCACCCAUUCCCUCCUGACAUGACUUUAGGAGCAAUUCUCCCUGUUCAUUUAACACAACUUAGAAAAAAGAAAAUGAUACACAACUACAGAAUCCCGGAUACAGGUAGAGGAACCAAGGUGGGGAAAGAAGCCCGAGCAGACCAUGAGCUUGUCUGAGUUUGCCCUGUAAAGGACUGUCCACUGGGAAGAGCAGUCCCUGUCGAACUGCUUGCUCACACUGGGUGAGCUGACAGGCUGGAGUCAUGCCUCGAGCUUUGGAAUCCGGAUGCUAGCACAAAUAAGUCUGUGCGUCUGUCUGACUGCAGUUUGCUCAUCCGAAAGGGGAGAUAACAUAAGCCUUUGGAAGAGGUAUUUUAAGCUUCCAGGUAAUUAAUUCUUACAAAAACCCUUUGUGCAAUAAUAGCACCAUGCUGAGAGCACCUGAGUGCUUGCAGCUACAAAGGAAGAAGCUGCUGGAAAAACCAUAGCGGGACAGCACCUGGAAAGCCUCGCUGAGGUUAAAUUACCAUGUUCCGUUAAUGACUUUCAACGUUACAAAUUUUUCCAGACUGAUAGUCAUCGUGCACAGCUGUGUGACUUUCCCCAGAGAGAACGUAAGGAAUUCAACAGUAAGAUUUAUAUGGGAGAAGGAAUAGUAUUUACUUCAGUUCCACAUGAAAAACCUAACUUCCCUAAUUUGGUCAACUGAGUGGACAAAAUGUGACUACUAUUAGGUGCAUAUACAUCGCGGUAAAGUAACUACCCGAGUCUUGCAUUUAUACCUGGCAUUACAUAGGCAGCUGAGAGAGUCAGCCAAGGUUCUGUGUGAAGGACCCUGGAUUUGGUCAAAAUUCUGGAAUUGGAGGUAUGGCUUACCCUAGUAGCCAGCCACGUACAGUGUGUGCAAAAUGCCACCUGAGAACCCAGUACCUUCUUUGGUAAACAUCUGGUUUUAGCCUGAAGUUACCUUUCAGGGUUUAAAGUGGCAUUCUGCUGGUGUAUUUUACAUGCCAGGGAUUUGGGUUUAAAGUGGCAUUCUGCUGGUGUAUUUUACAUGCCAGGGAUUUAUCCCAAGCCUGCAAGGCUUUCAUUGAAGAAAUUCAUACAAUAUUAUAAGGGACUCAAAUGACUAUGCAUAUAACCACUCACAGUAUCAAGCCUCUACGACAUAUUAGCCAUCGUGGAAGACCCUUUGGAAAAGCUAGAUCUACACAAAAAUAAACAAAAAUUCUCUCCCUGACAUGCAUAUAAACACAGGAGCAAAAGGCUGGUGUGGGAAACGCUGAAGUCACCGAGGGCGACAGUCACUCAGAGGUCCACUUGACGCCAAGCAGACCCUUAAGUGAGUCCUCGGCACGCUUAAAAUAGCUUCCUCUCCCUUUCGGAGCUCUUUUCCCAGCUGAACUCCCUUCCCUUGCUUUCUGCUCGGCAAACUCAUUGAGUGGAUGCCAUGAUCACGUCAGCUGAAGAGGACGCUAAUCAGCACAUUUGGAAGUGGGGAAGUAUGAGUUAAUGGCGCUUGACGGGAAGCUCCUUAAGCAGGAAGGUAAACAACUCAAAACAGCUUCAGGAAGUUCCUGAAACUGAGCAAGCGACAAAAACGGAGAUUGCCCCUCAGACAGAGGGAAACUGAGCUGCAAAAGACUCUGAGACCAGACCAACUGCCUGGAAGAUGCAGAAACCAGACGAGCUGCUGGGAAGAGGUGUAGACCAGAGUCACUUGGAAAGGACACUGUCCAACCUGUUGAGAUUCCUGCAGGCUGUGCAGUGAGCUCCAGGUUCCCAGCUUUGUGAGCUGUCACCCAUGCUAGGGUGGGCCUUGAUGAUGCAGCUGCCUUUGAGUAAUUGCUGAUCCUGUAAGUAACCCGAACGAAACUUGGUUCAUCACGUUGGACUUGGUGGUAUCCAUACUUGGAUCUCUUGUGGGAUCCCUAUCUAGGAUGAGUAGAUGUAUGUGUUGCAUUCCCCCCCCUACCAUCAGGAAGUUUUGUCACACAACAGAUAUGCAGAACAGGAAACCAGAAACCAUGGAGGAAAAGAGAAAUACUAUGCCUCUGUGUAAUCUUUAGUGUAUGAAAAAGCCAAAAUCAACUAGGAAAGAUGGACUAAAAAUGACUUUUCCAUAUAUAUUAUGGAAAUGAAAGGCCUUUGAAUAUAAAAGAAAAAUGGAAUGCUCAGGUGAAUAAAGUACGACUCCUUUCACUAGCAAUCAGUGAGUGUACAUCAAUUUAAAACACUAAGCACUCAGUGGAUGAAAACUUCCACACAGCAAUAUCUAUCACACAGUGCUGGUGAGGAUCUGGAGAAAUCAAUGAUCCUGUGUGUUGCUGAUAAGAAGAAUUAUUUCAUUUGGAGAAAAUUACACUGCAACAUCUAUUAAAACUUAAAUUAUAUCUA
Long non-coding RNA from Peromyscus californicus insignis, 2693 nucleotides. RefSeq lists it as uncharacterized. The transcript has 3 exons. The record is from RefSeq and is a predicted model, not a curated record. NCBI's taxonomy places the organism in Eukaryota, Metazoa, Chordata, Mammalia, Rodentia, Cricetidae.